This 253-nucleotide ribosomal RNA is filed under the name uncultured bacterium. Its description in RNAcentral is "partial 16S ribosomal RNA". It matches the Rfam family "Bacterial small subunit ribosomal RNA", at positions 524 to 776 of the family's 1533-position model. The record is from RNAcentral.
UACGUAGGUGGCAAGCGUUAUCCGGAAUUAUUGGGCGUAAAGAGCGCGCAGGUGGUUAAUUAAGUCUGAUGUGAAAGCCCACGGCUUAACCGUGGAGGGUCAUUGGAGACUGGUUGACUUGAGUGCGGAAGAGGGAAGUGGAAUUCCAUGUGUAGCGGUGAAAUGCGUAGAGAUAUGGAGGAACACCAGUGGCGAAGGCGGCUUCCUGGUCUGCAACUGACACUGAGGCGCGAAAGCGUGGGGAGCAAACAGG